GACGAACGCUGGCGGCGCGCCUAACACAUGCAAGUCGAACGAGCGAGAGAGAGCUUGCUUUCUCGAGCGAGUGGCGAACGGGUGAGUAACGCGUGAGGAACCUGCCUCAAAGAGGGGGACAACAGUUGGAAACGACUGCUAAUACCGCAUAAGCCCACGACCCGGCAUCGGGAAGAGGGAAAAGGAGCAAUCCGCUUUGAGAUGGCCUCGCGUCCGAUUAGCUAGUUGGUGAGGUAACGGCCCACCAAGGCGACGAUCGGUAGCCGGACUGAGAGGUUGAACGGCCACAUUGGGACUGAGACACGGCCCAGACUCCUACGGGAGGCAGCAGUGGGGAAUAUUGCACAGUGGGGGAAACCCUGAUGCAGCGACGCCGCGUGGAGGAAGAAGGUCUUCGGAUUGUAAACUCCUGUUGUUGAGGAAGAUAAUGACGGUACUCAACAAGGAAGUGACGGCUAACUACGUGCCAGCAGCCGCGGUAAAACGUAGGUCACAAGCGUUGUCCGGAAUUACUGGGUGUAAAGGGAGCGCAGGCGGGAAGACAAGUUGGAAGUGAAAUCCAUGGGCUCAACCCAUGAACUGCUUUCAAAACUGUUUUUCUUGAGUAGUGCAGAGGUAGGCGGAAUUCCCGGUGUAGCGGUGGAAUGCGUAGAUAUCGGGAGGAACACCAGUGGCGAAGGCGGCCUACUGGGCACCAACUGACGCUGAGGCUCGAAAGUGUGGGUAGCAAACAGGAUUAGAUACCCUGGUAGUCCACACCGUAAACGAUGAUUACUAGGUGUUGGAGGAUUGACCCCUUCAGUGCCGCAGUUAACACAAUAAGUAAUCCACCUGGGGAGUACGACCGCAAGGUUGAAACUCAAAGGAAUUGACGGAAG
Molecule: ribosomal RNA, 878 nt
Filed under: uncultured bacterium
Lineage: Bacteria
Description: bacterial SSU rRNA
Rfam family: Bacterial small subunit ribosomal RNA
Source: RNAcentral